This 1408-nucleotide ribosomal RNA is filed under the name uncultured Bacilli bacterium. RNAcentral's name for it is "bacterial SSU rRNA". It matches the Rfam family "Bacterial small subunit ribosomal RNA", at positions 27 to 1393 of the family's 1533-position model. Lineage: Bacteria; Bacillati; Bacillota; Bacilli. The record is from RNAcentral.
GGACGAACGCUGGCGGCGUGCCUAAUACAUGCAAGUCGAACGAGCUCUCCUAAAUUGAUUUUAUGCUUGCAUAAAUGAUUUUUAGAUUCGGAGCGAGUGGCGAACUGGUGAGUAACACGUGGGUAACCUGCCCCGAAGCGGGGGAUAACAUUUGGAAACAAAUGCUAAUACCGCAUAAUUAGUUGGAACCGCAUGGUUCCAACUUGAAAGAUGGCUCUGCUAUCACUUUGGGAUGGACCCGCGCCGUAUUAGUUAGUUGGUGAGAUAAAAGCCCACCAAGACGAUGAUACGUAGCCGACCUGAGAGGGUAAUCGGCCACAUUGGGACUGAGACACGGCCCAGACUCCUACGGGAGGCAGCAGUAGGGAAUCUUCCACAAUGGACGAAAGUCUGAUGGAGCAACGCCGCGUGAGUGAUGAAGGUUUUCGGAUCGUAAAACUCUGUUGUUAAAGAAGAACAAGUGUUAGAGUAACUGUUAACACUUUGACGGUAUUUAACCAGAAAGCCACGGCUAACUACGUGCCAGCAGCCGCGGUAAUACGUAGGUGGCAAGCGUUGUCCGGAUUUAUUGGGCGUAAAGCGAGCGCAGGCGGUUUUGUAAGUCUGCUGUGAAAGCCCUCAGCUCAACUGAGGAAGUGCAGUGGAAACUACAAAACUUGAGUACAGAAGAGGAAAGUGGAACUCCAUGUGUAGCGGUGAAAUGCGUAGAUAUAUGGGAAGAACACCAGUGGCGAAGGCGGCUUUCUGGUCUGUUACUGACGCUGAGGCUCGAAAGCAUGGGUAGCGAACAGGAUUAGAUACCCUGGUAGUCCAUGCCGUAAACGAUGAAUACUAGGUGUUGGAGGGUUUCCGCCCUUCAGUGCCGCAGCUAACGCAUUAAGUAUUCCGCCUGGGGAGUACGACCGCAAGGUUGAAACUCAAAGGAAUUGACGGGGGCCCGCACAAGUGGUGGAGCAUGUGGUUUAAUUCGAUGCUACGCGAAGAACCUUACCAGCUCUUGACAUCUUCUGCCAACCCAAGAGAUUGGGCGUUCCCUUCGGGGACAGAAUGACAGGUGGUGCAUGGUUGUCGUCAGCUCGUGUCGUGAGAUGUUGGGUUAAGUCCCGCAACGAGCGCAACCCUUAUUAUUAGUUGCCAGCAUUUAGUUGGGCACUCUAGUGAGACUGCCGGUGAUAAACCGGAGGAAGGUGGGGACGACGUCAAAUCAUCAUGCCCCUUAUGAGCUGGGCUACACACGUGCUACAAUGGAUGGUACAACGAGUCGCGAAACCGCGAGGUCAAGCUAAUCUCUUAAAGCCAUUCUCAGUUCGGAUUGCAGGCUGCAACUCGCCUGCAUGAAGUUGGAAUCACUAGUAAUCGUGGAUCAGCAUGCCACGGUGAAUACGUUCCCGGGCCUUGUACACACCGC